UAUGGUGUGUUUCGGGUAAUGGCCCCACU
This 29-nucleotide small RNA is filed under the name Bombyx mori (domestic silkworm). Its description in RNAcentral is "ovarian small RNA-23979". The record is from RNAcentral. Lineage: Eukaryota; Metazoa; Arthropoda; Insecta; Lepidoptera; Bombycidae.